UGGGGGAUAUUGCACAAUGGGCGAAAGCCUGAUGCAGCGACGCCGCGUGGGGGAUGAAGGCUUUCGGGUUGUAAACCUCUUUCGCUAUCGAACAAGGCCCGCUUAGGGUGGGUUGAGGGUAGGUGGAGAAGAAGCGCCGGCUAACUACGUGCCAGCAGCCGCGGUAAUACGUAGGGCGCGAGCGUUGUCCGGAAUUAUUGGGCGUAAAGGGCUUGUAGGCGGCUUGUUGCGCCUGCUGUGAAAACGCGGGGCUUAACUUCGCGCGUGCAGUGGGUACGGGCAGGCUUGAGUGUGGUAGGGGUGACUGGAAUUCCAGGUGUAGCGGUGGAAUGCGCAGAUAUCUGAGGAACACCGAUGGCGAAGGCAGGUCACUGGGCCAUUACUGACGCUGAGGAGCGAAAGCAUGGGUAGCGAACAGG
This 419-nucleotide ribosomal RNA is filed under the name bacterium. RNAcentral describes it as "partial 16S ribosomal RNA". It matches the Rfam family "Bacterial small subunit ribosomal RNA", at positions 355 to 776 of the family's 1533-position model. The record is from RNAcentral.